Molecule: ribosomal RNA, 727 nt
Filed under: uncultured Sulfitobacter sp.
Lineage: Bacteria; Pseudomonadati; Pseudomonadota; Alphaproteobacteria; Rhodobacterales; Roseobacteraceae
Description: bacterial SSU rRNA
Rfam family: Bacterial small subunit ribosomal RNA
Source: RNAcentral
UUAGUAACGCGUGGGAACAUACCCUUUUCUACGGAAUAGCCUCGGGAAACUGAGAGUAAUACCGUAUAAGCCCUUCGGGGGAAAGAUUUAUCGGGAAAGGAUUGGCCCGCGUUAGAUUAGAUAGUUGGUGGGGUAAUGGCCUACCAAGUCUACGAUCUAUAGCUGGUUUUAGAGGAUGAUCAGCAACACUGGGACUGAGACACGGCCCAGACUCCUACGGGAGGCAGCAGUGGGGAAUCUUAGACAAUGGGCGCAAGCCUGAUCUAGCCAUGCCGCGUGUGUGAUGAAGGUCUUAGGAUCGUAAAGCACUUUCGCCAGGGAUGAUAAUGACAGUACCUGGUAAAGAAACCCCGGCUAACUCCGUGCCAGCAGCCGCGGUAAUACGGAGGGGGUUAGCGUUGUUCGGAAUUACUGGGCGUAAAGCGUACGUAGGCGGAUCAGAAAGUAGGGGGUGAAAUCCCAGGGCUCAACCCUGGAACUGCCUCCUAAACUCCUGGUCUUGAGUUCGAGAGAGGUGAGUGGAAUUCCAAGUGUAGAGGUGAAAUUCGUAGAUAUUUGGAGGAACACCAGUGGCGAAGGCGGCUCACUGGCUCGAUACUGACGCUGAGGUACGAAAGUGUGGGGAGCAAACAGGAUUAGAUACCCUGGUAGUCCACACCGUAAACGAUGAAUGCCAGUCGUCGGGCAGUAUACUGUUCGGUGACACACCUAACGGAUUAAGCAUCCG